This is a ribosomal RNA of 1796 nucleotides. It matches the Rfam family "Eukaryotic small subunit ribosomal RNA". The record is from Rfam.
UACCUAGUUAAUUCUACUAGUAGUUAUAUACUUAUCUUAAAGAUUAAGCUAUAUAUGUCUAAGUAUAAGCAAUUAUAUAGUGAAACUGUAAAUAGCUUAUUAUAUAAGUUAUUAUUUAUUUAAUAGUACCUUACUAUAUAGAUAACUAUAGUAAUUCUAGAGCUAAUAUAUACUAAAAACCCUAACUUAUAAAGAGGUGUAUUUAUUAGAUUAAAAACCAAUGCCCUUUAGGGCUUACUAGUGAUUUAUAAUAACUUCUUAAAUCAUAUAGCCUUACGCUAGCAAUAGUUUAUUUAAAUUUCUUCCCUAUUAACUUUUAAUACUAGAGUAGUGUUCUAGUAUAGUUAUAACAGGUAACAGAGGGUUAGGGCUUGACCCUAGAGAAGGAGCCUAAGAAACGGCUACUAUAUCUAAGGAAGGCAGCAGGUGCGUAAAUUACCUAAUCCUGACAUAGGGAGGUAGUGACAAUAAAUACUAAUAUAGGGCUCUUUUAGGUCUUAUAAUUAGAAUAAGUAUAAUUUAAAUCCCUUAAUAAGGAAUAAUUAGAGGGUAAGUCUGGUGCUAGCAGCUAUAGUAAUUCUAGCUUUAAUAGCGUAUAUUAAAGUUGUUAUAGUUAAAAAGCUUGUAGUAGAACCUUAGGCCUAGCUAGCUAGUCUACCUCACCGCGUGCACUAGUCUAGCUAGGCCUUUCCCUCUGCAGAACCAUAUGCCCUUUACUAGGUGUGCUAGGGAAGUAGGACUUUUACUUUAAAAAAAUUAGAGUGCUUUAGGCAGGCCUAUACUUAAAUAUAUUAGUAUAGAAUAAUAGAAUAGGACGUGUAGUUCUAUUUUAUUAGUUUCUAGGACUACUGUAAUAAUUAAUAGGGACAGUUAGGGGCAUUAGUAUUUAAUUAUUAGAGGUAAAAUUCUUAGAUUUAUUAAAGACUAACUACUAUAAAAGUAUUUACUAAGGAUGUUUUUAUUUAUUAGGAAUAAAAGUUAGGGGAUUAAAGAUAAUUAGAUACUGUUAUAGUCUUAACUAUAAACUAUACUAACUAGGGAUUAGAUAAUGUUAUUUUUUAACUUAUUUAGCACCUUACAAGAAAUUAAAGUGCUUAGGCUCUAGGGGGAGUAUAGUCGUAAGGCUGAAACUUAAAGAAAUUAACAGAAGGGCACCACUAGGGGUAGAGCCUGUAGCUUAAUUUAACUUAACAUAGGGAAACUUACUAGGUCUAGAUAUAAUAAGGAUUAAUAGAUUAAGAGCUCUUUCUUAAUUUUGUAGGUAGUAGUGUAUAGCUGUUCUUAGUUAGUGGAGUGAUUUAUCUGCUUAAUUAUAAUAAUAAACAAGACCUUAACCUGCUAAAUAGCCUGUAUUACUUUAGUAGUACGCUAGCUUCUUAGAGGGACUAUUAGCUUAAGCUAAUAGAAGUGCAAGGUAAUAACAGGUCUAUAAUGCCCUUAGAUGUUCUAGGCCGCACGCACGUUACACUAACAGAGCCAGUAAGUACUCCCUUGGCCGGAAGGCCUAGGUAAUCUUAUUAAACUCCGUCGUGCUAGGGAUAAAGCAUUAUAAUUAUUGCUCUUUAAUAAGGAAUCCCUAGUAAGCGCAAGUUAUUAGCUUACGUUAAUUACGUCUCUACCUUUUAUAUACACUGCCUGUUACUACUACUAAUUAAAUAGCUUAGUAAGGCUUUUAGACUAGCCUAGAGAGGUAGGUAACUACCACUUAAGGCUAGAAAGUUAUCUAAACUUAGUUAUUUAGAGGAAGUAAAAGUCGUAAUAAGGUCUCUAUUAGUAAACUAGUGGAGGGAUUAUUA